Neurospora crassa OR74A is the source of this 794-nucleotide non-coding RNA. The record is from RefSeq and is a predicted model, not a curated record. NCBI's taxonomy places the organism in Eukaryota, Fungi, Ascomycota, Sordariomycetes, Sordariales, Sordariaceae.
AUUUCUUCCUCCAGCAAAACUUUCAGUCCGCGACACCACGGCGAAUCAAUCAGUUGGCCAUCACAACUGCAUCAGCCGGCUUUCUAUUCAUCGAUUCUGCUCUUUUCCCAGCGUCGCCGCGUCGCUCACCAUUUGCGACAGGCUUGCUGCGAUCCUUUACCAUUCCAUCAGCGCACCGAACGACAACCGCCGAUCUGAGCCGAACGUGACCUGCGACGACGCUUCACGAUACCACAGCGAAAACCGACACAUUAUCAAUCCAUCUAACGCGUGACGGCGUCCCAUCAUUCUGCCAUCAUUCGAAUAUCACCAGUCCGCCCUCAUUUUGCUUUUGCUUCGCAUACUGACAAGUUUCGAAACUCGAUAUUUUCUGGCUGUUGGCUCGCUGGGCUGGCCUGGAAGGUGAUCUGAGUCUCUGGCUGUGGCGCAAUUGAUUUGAUAUCUGGGACGGGAUACAAGUGCGAGUCUUCCAACAGUACCAUCCAUCCCCUUUGAACGGGUUGUUGCAGUCUCGCUGGGUCUUUGUACUUUCCUUCUCUUCAUCUGUCACUUUGUGUCUCUUCCUACGAGUACAUUCAGAAUUGACUCAGUCUAACUUCUGCAAAUCCAAGAGCAAGAAAAACAGGGGAACAAGGAAACGAGCCUAAUAUUUUUGUUGAAAGGGGAGAAAUUCGCUACCAGCUGAGACAUUGCAGAAAUCAUUCUACAAGCCCCAGCCCCCAACUCGUAUCAUACGUCAACAUCGUUUAGGAGAGUCUUCUAAUAGUACAGUGUUUGCCUUGGGCGCGGCGUCA